Molecule: long non-coding RNA, 465 nt
Organism: Drosophila elegans
Lineage: Eukaryota; Metazoa; Arthropoda; Insecta; Diptera; Drosophilidae
Exons: 2
Source: RefSeq, a predicted model, not a curated record
GAAUGGUAAAGUCAAUCAAAUCAACACGUUUAUAAAGUGUCCAGCAACAGGUACGUUCGCUGAUUUGACGACAAUGAGGGAAAGGACACUUGCCAAAACAAAUGUCACGUGAGCCACACAAACUUUUUCUUGCCCCCCUGAGCUCUGUAAAUCUGGCUAUGGUUUUGUUUUUCCUUUGCCGCUUCUGGUUCAUCAUGGCAGCACAUAGAAAUAUUUGGCUACCCAACAGCAUAAUUUUUUUUGUUCGCUUUUCCCUAUUUUCUCGUGAUUUUUUCCUUCGCUCUACGAUUUUCUCUCAACCCGAUCCGUGAUUUGGCAGCCUGAAAUCACGUAAGCCAAAGGGGGAAGGGGAAGGAAGUUCCGUCAUGUGUCUGCGUCUACUUUGCUCUGAUUACAAAACCCAACAACAGAUUCACUGCGAAAAACAAGCAACAAUAAUAAAAUAUCUACAGGCCACUCAACAAA